RNAcentral lists this ribosomal RNA (163 nucleotides) under Dioscorea polystachya (Chinese yam). Its description in RNAcentral is "5.8S ribosomal RNA". It matches the Rfam family "5.8S ribosomal RNA". Rfam says of the family: 5.8S ribosomal RNA (5.8S rRNA) is a component of the large subunit of the eukaryotic ribosome. Lineage: Eukaryota; Viridiplantae; Streptophyta; Magnoliopsida; Dioscoreales; Dioscoreaceae. The record is from RNAcentral.
ACACGACUCUCGGCAACGGAUAUCUCGGCUCUCGCAUCGAUGAAGAACGUAGCGAAAUGCGAUACCUGGUGUGAAUUGCAGAAUCCCGCGAACCAUCGAGUCUUUGGACGCAAGUUGCGCCCGAGGCCACUCGGCCGAGGGCACGCCUGCCUGGGCGUCACGC